This is a non-coding RNA of Pelobates cultripes (western spadefoot toad), 203 nucleotides long. The record is from the annotation of a GenBank genome assembly. Lineage: Eukaryota; Metazoa; Chordata; Amphibia; Anura; Pelobatidae.
CACAGGUGCAGUAGGGACUAAUCGUAAAUGUAGGGUGGGUUUUUCCAAAACUGGGAAGGCUUAACCCAUUUUGAGUAAUACGAAGUCAGAGAUAAGAUGGAUUACCAGGUAGGUCUACACCACCGAUCACAACAUUCAUAGAAGUGCUGGCACUCUGUACCAGUCAGAACCCUUCAAACACCUUCUGAAUAUAUGCAUUAAAU